UUGAAAUCGCUGCUUAGUAUCUCUCGUUUAAAGUCAGACAUUUUGAUACCUGAGUGAGUUUAUGUUGUCUGAGUAACUAGUUGUACUUGACAAGCAGUGUGGAGCGCAAGAAAAAAAUGACAAUUUGUCUGUGAGGUGACAGAGACAUGUGGUGUGGUCGUAGGUUUAACAACCGACUUUUACAGUAGAGAUACUGUAACGUUAACGUUAAGUGUAACCUAGCUACAAGUGUCAUAACAAUCAUACCGGAGGGUAACCUUUAGCAUUUCUACACUCAAUGAAGUUGUAAAAUGAUGUAAACACGGUGGUGACCAAGCUAGGUUGGGACGAUAGCUUCUCCAGAAGCUGUAGGCGUUCCUGCCUCCUCAUCAGCGGGUCGCCACCCCGUGUGUUCUCCAUCCCCUCCUCAUCUGGCAUUCAAGCAUGCUACAAUGACCCAGUGAUGCUGUGUGACAGGCCAGGCAGGGCACUAGCUGUUUGUGUCAAUCCAGAUCAAUCACUCCCUCUUCUGGACGGACAACGUCAUCAACGCACUCAAAGGUCACGGGGUGUACUCAAGCCAGGCCUGAUGUGGUGAACAGGGAGGUCAGCGUGGCGAGAGAACACCCUUGACUGACUGAGUGUCAUCUUAAGUAGACACGGAUCUGUGGAGUCACUCGCUGGGGCCCAGCUUCCCUCCUGUCAGAGCGAGGUUUCUUUCGCUGCUGUUAUAUUUCAGGCUGUUAUUGUUGGCCCUCCUGCAGCCUCGGUCCUGGAAACACGUCGGUGCUACUAGAAGGAUGCCAGAAAAAUGCAGAAAGGGAUCUGGACCAAGGAAGUAAAAAAAAAAAAGGGGCAGUGAACAGAGAAGCGGACAAGAUGGAAAGAAGACUAUAAAUAUACAUCUCAGGUCCAAUGCGCUGACGCUGGGGAAUAAAAAAAACAGCUGGAAUUGAACAUCGGGAAUCUCCACUGUAGCAGCCUCCCUUCGUGAUAAUUAGGUCCCCCUCCUCAUCUGUUAUGAGUUGGAAACUUUGCGCGGCUGAUAUCUGUUGUUUUCCUCACAUCUGAACAUGCUGCCAGAUGAAGAUGGAGGACAGAGGAAGAGGCGAGGAAGCUCAUUGAAAGUAUUGAGACAUAUCCAGAGGCCGGUCCAUCCACUCUCCUCUCCUUCCCCUGAUACAUGUGAUGAAUCACCACUGACUGCACCCACAUCUCUCUCUGUCAGACAGGGGCCGACCCCAGUCUAAUAUACACACCCCUAGGACCUGCUCAUAUUUCUCCAUUGCACUCCAUCCGUGCCUCUCUUUUUCUCCAUUCUUCACUCUUCUUGCCUUCCUUCUUCCCUCCUCUCAAGUUUUCCCUGUUUCUCACCGCCUCCUCCUCCUCCUGUCCUCUUUUUUCAGAACCUUCUUUAUUUGCCCCGUGCUCCUAAAUCACCCUCCCUGAAUUUCCCACAUGAAAAAUAAAAUGUUCCCAUUGCACCACUCAUCUUUACUAUCCAUCAAGAAAGAAGAAGAAGAAGAAGAAAAAAAAAAUCCCCACCACAUGAUUCCCAUGAUUAUAGACUCUAAUUGUU
Molecule: long non-coding RNA, 1558 nt
Organism: Acanthopagrus latus (yellowfin seabream)
Lineage: Eukaryota; Metazoa; Chordata; Actinopteri; Spariformes; Sparidae
Exons: 5
Source: RefSeq, a predicted model, not a curated record